UUUCCGUAGGUGAACCUGCGGAAGGAUCAUUAUUGUAUAACCGAGGUGCGAGGGCUGUCGCUGACCCGAAAGGUCGUGCACGCCCGAGUGCCCUCACACACAUCCAUCUCACCCCUAUGUGCACCACCGCGUGGGUCCCCCUUUGGCUUGUUCGGAGGGGGGCUUACGUUUUCACACAAACUUUGUAUGCAGUGUAGAAUGUAUUUUUUGUUUUUGCGAUCACGCAAUCAAUACAACUUUCAACAACGGAUCUCUUGGCUCUCGCAUCGAUGAAGAACAGC
RNAcentral lists this unclassified non-coding RNA (281 nucleotides) under plant metagenome. Its description in RNAcentral is "partial contains small subunit ribosomal RNA, internal transcribed spacer 1, and 5.8S ribosomal RNA". The stretch from base 235 to 281 matches the Rfam family "5.8S ribosomal RNA", at positions 1 to 47 of the family's 154-position model. The record is from RNAcentral.